GAAAGAUGAAAAGAACUUUGAAAAGAGAGUUAAACAGUACGUGAAAUUGUUGAAAGGGAAACGAUUGAAGCCAGUCGUACCUUCGGGUAAUCAGCCUUUCGGGUGCGAUUCUGUGGAGUGUGAGGAGCUUAAACACCUUCAUGCUUUGCAUAUUUGUGCUCUUGGGUGUACUUGCCCGUGUGGUUGGUUAACAUCAAUUUUGGUUAUCAUAAAAUGAUUGGAGGAAUGUAGCUUCGAUCUCGUAUUGAAGUGUUAUA
Molecule: ribosomal RNA, 257 nt
Filed under: uncultured Rhizophagus
Lineage: Eukaryota; Fungi; Glomeromycota; Glomeromycetes; Glomerales; Glomeraceae
Description: partial large subunit ribosomal RNA
Rfam family: Eukaryotic large subunit ribosomal RNA
Source: RNAcentral